GCCAAAUUGUGUCUUUUAUGGAAAAGAAUGACAAAUGGUUUAAUUCAAUAUCACACGCAUGUGUAUAUAUGAGCUGAAAUUCUGUUUGAACUCAAAGCUGUUAGGCAAAUAUUUUAGUCUCAUCGCAAGUUUAAAAACAACAGACAUGUGGGAGUACAUCCAUUUAUUUACACUUGUACUGACUUAAAAUUCAAAAUGUUAUUUGAUGCUUUUAAAGUACUGCUGUGGGAUGUUAAAUUACUGAUGAAUUCUUACUGUUCUGAGAUACCUUUCAACCUGCCAAGAUGCAUGAUGAUGAUAAUAAUAAUAAUAACAGCAGUAGGGCAGGGAUCUUUAAAAUAAUGCGGGGCUCAUUCCUGUAAGAUAAAUAUCAUUUUCACUAACCCCCGUUUUAUGAUUCAGCAUUUCUGAUGCAGCAAAGUGAAAUAAUGAAACUAAAAUGACAACAGGUUCGUGUGGGAUGGGAAAGGGAAAACGAGCACAGGCAUUGUCAGGAUUUCUGUAGAAAUUUAGGGGGAAAAAUCUCCUCUAAAUGGCACUUACUCCCCCCUCCCAAGGAAAAUACCUCCUCUUGUUUUUACUGUUCACUAAAUUUCCUUCUUUUAUUCCUUUUUCUGAUCUCAUCCUUUUGUUCCCCUUCCCUCCUCAGAUGCUUCUCCUUCCUCCUCGCAGCGGGAGGCUGCUGGCAGCUGGGGAUGUCGAGCCACGGCCGCGGAUGGCGGGGGGCUUGCUGGCAGAAUCCUGGUGAAAUGCAGUAAAGGAUUUAAGGUUAUCGUCUGUCUCUCUCUAACUUCUGACAUCUCUUUAUAACAAGAAAGAGUCACAGCCAACUGUAACAGGAGGGCAACACAAUGAAUCCUGGCUGGCAUUCAGAGAGACUCAGGAUGCAGAGACAGUAACUGCCACACGACACUGUUUCCUGCCUUCCCCGGGCUGUCCAAAGUUAAUGAUUCAUAAGAUUCUGCACUGAUUUCACUGCGAGCUUCCACAUGUUUAACAGCUAUUGAUGUACAACACUGUAAAGCUUUGGGACCGUCCUCUCUAUUCUGUAUCUUAUCAGAGCUACUACAGAAUGACUGAGGAUUGCAACCUUACACGGUGCAGGUAUGCUGUAAAGACAAAGUAAGAAAACCAGCAUAGCGACAUGGUGACUAUAAAGGAGAGAGAUGAAGCAGAUGAAAUUAAUAAAACAUGUAUGGAUUUUUAACAGCUUUUGAUGAUAACAGUUUUGGUACAUAAGUGGUAAGUAAAGACUUACUGGUCUGAUCCAAGCUCUUUGAAGAUACUUGGACUGAAGAUUUCUAACAAUGCAGUUCUCUACAUUUACCUUCCUACAAAAAACAUGCUCACUGUGGA
Molecule: long non-coding RNA, 1356 nt
Organism: Cuculus canorus (common cuckoo)
Lineage: Eukaryota; Metazoa; Chordata; Aves; Cuculiformes; Cuculidae
Exons: 5
Source: RefSeq, a predicted model, not a curated record